Molecule: long non-coding RNA, 1162 nt
Filed under: Homo sapiens (human)
Lineage: Eukaryota; Metazoa; Chordata; Mammalia; Primates; Hominidae
Description: non-protein coding lnc-EPB41L2-2:1
Source: RNAcentral
AUGGCACCUGUGGUGGUGAAUGCAAUGAAGUUCCUUGGGAGCAGUACUACAAAGAUGCCAUGGAGCAGGGCCACAAUUACAAUGCCCACCUCUGUGCUGAGCACAGCAUGUGCCUGCCUUUCUUGGCCUCACAGACUGGAGUAGCCCAGAACAAUUAUUACAGCUGGAUGAAGAAGUAACCAGGUUCUAGGAUUGGCCUCUGGACAACUACUCGUACCCUGCCCAGCACUGGCGGAAAAAGCGGUGAGCCCACCCCUGUGAAGAUCCACAAUUUUUCUUCCCACCUAUUAAGCCAGACACAGACCCCACCCUGAAGAAGGAGGGGCUGAUCUCUCAGGACAGCAGCAGUUUAGAGGUUCUGUUGCACACUGACCCCCUGGGGAAGCGAGGUACCCCAGAUCCCCGAGUUGAUGAUGACAGCCUGGGCAAGUUUCCUGUGACAAACAGUCAAGCACGAAAGCGGAUCCUAGAACCAGAUGACUUCCUGGAUGACCUCGAUGAUGAGUACUGUGAAGAUGCUCCCAAGCAUCGGGGAAAGGGGUAAUCCAAGGGUAAAGGUGUGGCAGUGCCCAUAAGGAGCUGGAUGCUUCCAACCUGGAGGACCAGGAUAAGCCCUAUGCCUGUGACAUUUGUGGAAAACGUUACAAGAACCGACCAGGCCUCAGUUACCACUAUGCCCACUCUCACUUGGCUGAGGAGGGCGAGGACAAAGAAGACUCCCAACCACCCACUCCUGUUUCCCAGAGGUCUGAGGAACAGAAAUCCAAAAAGGGUCCUGAUGGAUUUGCCUUGCCCAACAACUACUGUAACUUCUGCCUGGGGAACUCAAAGAUUAACAAGAAGAUGGGACAACCUGAGGAGGUGGUGUCCUGUUUCGACUGUGGCUGCUCAGGGCAUCCAUCUUGCCUCCAUUUCACCCCCAUGAUGAUGGGGCAGUGAAGACAUACUGCUGGCAAUGCAUCGAGCACAAAUGUUGCGAUAUCUGCGGCACCUCUGAAGAUGAUGACCAGCUGGGCUUUUGUGAUGCUGCGAUCAUGGCUACGAAAUGUACUGUCUCACUCCGUCCAUAUCUGAGCCCCCUGAAGGAAGUUGGAGGUGCCACCUGUGUCUGGACCUGUUGAAGGAGAAAGCUUCCAUCUACCAGAACAAGAACUCCUCUUGA